UGAAGUUUUGUCAACCGCCUG
This 21-nucleotide non-coding RNA is filed under the name Arabidopsis thaliana (thale cress). The record is from RNAcentral. Lineage: Eukaryota; Viridiplantae; Streptophyta; Magnoliopsida; Brassicales; Brassicaceae.